This 639-nucleotide long non-coding RNA is filed under the name Mus spretus (western wild mouse). RNAcentral's name for it is "lncRNA (ENSMSPG00010029133.1)". Lineage: Eukaryota; Metazoa; Chordata; Mammalia; Rodentia; Muridae. The record is from RNAcentral.
UGCGUUGGGCUUGAGGAACUAUACGGCAUGACUCAGUGCUUUGGAAUGAAAGUGUCAUUAUCAUCUAAGGAAAAUCUCACUUUAUCCUUAGAGAAAGGGGACCUGAAGACGUUGUUUCAAGAGUGUUUCUGAUGCAGCUGGCUCCUGCCGGCCUCCGCCCCGCCUGCCGGCUCUGCUCUGCUGUUAAUCACAACAGCACCAUGAAAGUGAGGCGCAUGCUAAGGAGGCUGGCCUCAUCUACCCAGAGACUCCUGCUCUGCUGGACGGCCUCCAGACACUUGUGCACACAGCUCUGCCAACAGACAAUCCACGACUUCACAGCCACCAGCAAGCAGGAGAGAACUCGGCAGUUGGGAGAAGAAUACAUACAGACUGAUGGACGAACAGAGACCAGACCUGAGAGCAACAGAUCUGAUCCUUGCCCUAGGGACCAAGAGCUGUUCUAUCAAUGGAGUGAGGAUGACGGGGACAGACCAGACAGGGCUCCAGAUGCUAUACUGAGAAACUGGAGUUUUAUAAUUAAGAGCUGUGGGAGAGCACUUGACAUGGAGGUCCAGGAUGGCACCUGACAAGAGUGGCCACUACAGCCAGGCUGAAACAGCAACUGUGACUGUGCCAAAUGAAUAAAUGAUUGACUGC